Molecule: signal recognition particle RNA, 175 nt
Filed under: Alkaliphilus metalliredigens QYMF
Lineage: Bacteria; Bacillati; Bacillota; Clostridia; Peptostreptococcales; Natronincolaceae
Description: Bacterial large signal recognition particle RNA
Rfam family: Bacterial large signal recognition particle RNA
About the family: The signal recognition particle (SRP) is a universally conserved ribonucleoprotein involved in the co-translational targeting of proteins to membranes. Archaeal SRP consists of a 7S RNA and homologues of the eukaryotic SRP19 and SRP54 proteins. In most bacteria, the SRP consists of a 4.5S RNA and the Ffh protein (a homologue of the eukaryotic SRP54 protein).
Source: Rfam by way of RNAcentral
GUGCUAGACGGGGAGGUAGCGGUGCCCUGUAACCUGCAAUCCGCUAUAGCAGGGUUGAAUUCCUCAUGGAGGCUUGUUGCUUGUAGGGCUGGCCUAGAUAAGUGGUGAUGAGAAUUGGGUCCUACGCAAUGAAAACUCAUGAACUCCGUCAGAUCCGGAAGGAAGCAGCGGUAAG